Molecule: transfer RNA, 71 nt
Filed under: Paramuricea clavata
Lineage: Eukaryota; Metazoa; Cnidaria; Anthozoa; Malacalcyonacea; Plexauridae
Rfam family: tRNA
About the family: Transfer RNA (tRNA) molecules are approximately 80 nucleotides in length. Their secondary structure includes four short double-helical elements and three loops (D, anti-codon, and T loops).
Source: Rfam by way of RNAcentral
GCCUCUGUAGCUCAGUUGGUUAGAGCUGCACCGGAAUCGCUGGACCGUAGGUUCAAUUCCUACCAGAGGAC